GGAGAUGUAGCUCAGUUGGUAGAGUACUUGCCUAGCAAGUAUGAAGUCUAGGUUUGACACCCAGCAUCACAU
RNAcentral lists this transfer RNA (72 nucleotides) under Rattus norvegicus (Norway rat). It matches the Rfam family "tRNA". Rfam says of the family: Transfer RNA (tRNA) molecules are approximately 80 nucleotides in length. Their secondary structure includes four short double-helical elements and three loops (D, anti-codon, and T loops). The record is from Rfam by way of RNAcentral. Lineage: Eukaryota; Metazoa; Chordata; Mammalia; Rodentia; Muridae.